AUUGAACGCUGGCGGCAGGCCUAACACAUGCAAGUCGAACGGUAACAGGAAGAAGCUUGCUUCUUUGCUGACGAGUGGCGGACGGGUGAGUAAUGUCUGGGAAACUGCCUGAUGGAGGGGGAUAACUACUGGAAACGGUAGCUAAUACCGCAUAACGUCGCAAGACCAAAGAGGGGGACCUUCGGGCCUCUUGCCAUCGGAUGUGCCCAGAUGGGAUUAGCUAGUAGGUGGGGUAACGGCUCACCUAGGCGACGAUCCCUAGCUGGUCUGAGAGGAUGACCAGCCACACUGGAACUGAGACACGGUCCAGACUCCUACGGGAGGCAGCAGUGGGGAAUAUUGCACAAUGGGCGCAAGCCUGAUGCAGCCAUGCCGCGUGUAUGAAGAAGGCCUUCGGGUUGUAAAGUACUUUCAGCGGGGAGGAAGGGAGUAGAGUUAAUACCUUUGCUCAUUGACGUUACCCGCAGAAGAAGCACCGGCUAACUCCGU
RNAcentral lists this ribosomal RNA (489 nucleotides) under uncultured bacterium. Its description in RNAcentral is "partial 16S ribosomal RNA". It matches the Rfam family "Bacterial small subunit ribosomal RNA", at positions 30 to 506 of the family's 1533-position model. The record is from RNAcentral.